RNAcentral lists this long non-coding RNA (17266 nucleotides) under Triticum aestivum (bread wheat). RNAcentral describes it as "long non-coding RNA (TAES_LNC019384)". The stretch from base 3814 to 3933 matches the Rfam family "MIR1120/MIR1122 microRNA precursor family". The record is from RNAcentral. Lineage: Eukaryota; Viridiplantae; Streptophyta; Magnoliopsida; Poales; Poaceae.
UAAAAUAUUUCCCCCCACCUUUUCAAGUGUUGCGAGGAACUGAACUCAGCACACCUCCUUUCAUCGGGAUGGUGUUUGUUGUCGUUUGUCAUGUCAUAAACAUUGGUCUUGUAGUUUGCUGAAUCGAGAUAAUCGAUCCCAGUUUGCGCAUAUCUAUGCAUUGAUCCAUGUAAUAAACAAUAUUGGGUAUCGUGUUGAUUUCAGAUCAAUUGACGAUGGUACUCUUUGCAAAUGUUUUCAAACUAAGUUUUUCCUCUCAAUCACUCUUUUUUAUAACCAGGCAUGCACUUUGCGGCUACUUGUUUUACUGACAAUGCCGGAACUAUGAUACUUGUAAAGCUGCAUGUAUAAUGUCUGCUUGGUCAGCAACGUCCAUAUCCCAUUCUAAUUCGUUUCGGAAAGCACGGCGUUCACAGGUCUAACGCAGCAAGCACCGAACAUGUCAUUACGAUUACUGUAGAAGUGCAAAGACAUCUUGGCUCUGAUACAAUGUAGAAGUGCAUGCUCUAGCUAAUGCAACCAAAAGACCAAUCUGAUGAAAGAGACUAGGCAGCACAUUAUACGUCAACAGUUACAACACGACUUAACAUUAAAGGACCAGUACACAGACAGAGAAAAUUAAAAUUCGCGCUCAGCACGUAUCACUCCUAGCAAGCAAAUUAACAACGUUCCAUUCGUGCGUGCGUGCGUACGGACUCGGUUGAUCAGUUAGGGCACUGGAAGCCAGCCGGGAGCUUCCUGCCGCAGUGGUUGACGAGGAGGCCGAGCUGGAGGGGCAGGCCGACGUCGACGACGCCCAGCACGUUGGCCUUGAUGGCGGUGCAAAGGCAGACGGCGGCGUCCAGGUCGGCGAGGCCGUCGACGAGCUCGCAGCACGGCUUCUUCCCCGACGACGCCGUCGACCAGGAGCCUGCCAUCAGGUUCGUCAGCCCGUCGCCUAGGCCCAGCACGUCCGCGCACACCCCCAGCUUCAGCGCGUCCACCGGGCACUUACCUCCGCCGCUCCCGCUCCCGCUCCCGCCCGUCACCAUCGGUGCGCUCGGCGUUGGUUUGCUCUUGCUGGGGCAGGCCGCCUCUGUGGAGACGGCGAGGAGGAGGACGAGGCUCGCCGCUAGAGCCAGGGUGGACAUUGCAACCACCGUGCUGCUGGUUUUGCCCGUCGCCGCCAUGACUAUGCUGUGACAAAGGUUAGAGAGAUCGACGAGAGAAUGAGUACGGGUGCGUGCCGUAGCUGCCGUGCAUGUGGUGGUAUUUGUAGGGGAGCCAUCGGUCCGAAAGUUGCAAAUUUACUUGAGUCAGGUGUCCGAUUGGCUUUAUCGCGGCGGCAAUUACUGGAGCAACGUGCAAUCGUUACCGUAGCUUCGGUACAACAUGUAGGGAAUGUAAAUUCAUUGUGGUUUUUCUUGUCGGUGACGCAGUAACUAGGAAACAUGCCCGUGCGUUGCUACGGGGUGAAGGGGCAGUGGUUGAGAGAGGGUGGUGCACGGAGGACUUCCGCCAAGUGCAAUUUUUUUCGACUUUUUUUUAACACAGUACAGACGAAGCGCUCAUACAUAUGCACAUACACUCACCGCUGUGAACGCACACACGCACACCCUACCCCUAUGAGCACUUCCGAGAGACUGAGCCGGCAUAUCAUUUUGAUAUUUAUGAAGUCACCGUAGGUGCCUCCUCGUCGACGGGAACGUCUUCUCCCACUGAAAACACAUCGCCGGAAUUCCUGAAAUAAAUCCAGGAAUAAUGCGAGCAGCAGGACUUGAAUCCUGGUGGGCUGGGGAUGCCACUGUCCCUCUAACCAUCCAACCACAGGUUGGUUCGCCAAUUUUUCUCGACUUUGAAACAUAUUCUUCAAGAGUAGCUACUAACUCAACGGAUUUUUGAACUUAGAGCACACAUGAUGUUUUUCGCCUCACUUCAAUAAGACGCUGUAUUAGACCGUCAAUAUAUAGUGACAACAUGCAUCUCACCAGUAUUUUAACCAUCGUAGUGAUGAUAAAAAUCACGACGCUUUUUAAGUUUUUUAUUUUUUUAUUCAUUGGUCAUCCAUACAUACCGCUCUCUAUCUCUUUUCCUUCUUUGUUGUUUGCCAUCCAUGACUCGAGAUUGCCAUUCAAAUUGCUUGCAUGCAAGAAAGUUUUGUAUACUAUAUGAAUCUGCUGUUGAUUGAAAAACAAAUAUGAAAUUUGCAUAAAUAAAUAUGGCACAUGUAGCAAUUUAUAAAUAAAUCUAAUUAUGCUGGGCAUAAGCAUCAGAAUAUAUGUGUUGUUUGCUUGCUAGAGUAUCAUUGCUACACACACCAUGUUUUUCGUGUGACUUUUUUUUUUUGCAAAUAGUUUUUCGUGUGACUUCACUGCGACAUUGUAGAUUAGUUUGUCGAUGCCUAGUAAAAAUGUCGUGCAUGCACUGACAUGAGACAAUAAAAAUGUCGUAUAUGCAACACUUCCAAAGUAACUUUACAUGGAUGCAAUUGUUCUUAUUUUCCAUAACAUCAAUGUUUGGUCAAAAGGAUGUAUAAGGUGGUUGCCUCAUUCCUCCGUACCACCUUCAAUAUAACUAGGCAGAUUUAAAGAAGAAGAAUUAACUAGGAACCUUCAAUAUAACGUGUCACUGCAGAAGCGAUAGCCCUUUUAUUAGCAGGUAUAGAUAUAGAUUCAGGCGCUGCCUGCAGUGUGGUCACUUUGAUAGAGCUAUUGGUCAAAGUUUUUUUUUUAUAGAUGUUUUCGCAUGGCUCAGUUUGCUGUCUCACGCCAAAAAAAAGGAAAAAGAAGGUUUUUUUCUUUCUUUUUUUGAGGAAUCUCAGUUUGCUGUCUAUCCAGCGGAGUUGCAGAAAGGAGUCGCGGAGGAGACAAGACCACCAUGGGCUGGGCUGUUGUUGCAUCUCGAGUGGGCUUUCUGGAGACAAGAUCAUCCAAUAUAACGUUUCUUUGGGCUUUCUGGUGAACAUGUGCGGCCGCAGCAGCACUGCAGCAGAAGGGAAAGCAGCGGGUGGAGGUAGGCGUUUUUAGUCCCACCUCGCCUGGCUAGGCAGGAGGGAGUAGAGAGCUCGGCUACAUAAGAGGGCGGGGUACAACCUGGAAGAGGCACGCAGCUGCGUGGUGAGCACAAAGCGAACUAUUCUUUCGCCUUUUACUAAAGAAUACCGUGUGCAUGCCACACUAAGCAGCAUAUGCUAAUAUUUUGAGGGUGCUUUCUCAAAUUUCAAAAUAGUUGAUAUUGUUUAUGCUUAUAUACCCUUGUAAAUAAUAAUCCAAAUCUUAGAUCCUUUUGUUCAACGUUCAAAGUUCUGACUGCUCUGCUUGGAUUUUAGCAUAAUUGCAGGCUCAUCUUUGUAAUGGUUGGCCAACCUUUCGUCGUGAGAAAUUUAUGCUACUAUUUCGUCAGGGAUUAAAUUCAGCCAUCUAGCUGAAUAUCGCUAGCUAUGCCUUUCAGUUCUACGAUUACUUGUUUCAGGAUUUGUAUCUAGCCGCAGCCAACAGCUCUCUAAUGCAGUGUCUUCUACAGUACCAGCAAUUCAGGAUCCGUUCUUUCACUCCUUUCAGUAUCUGUUCUUCAAUAUGCUAGUGUCAGAUACACCAAAAAUCUUCUGUUAGCUGUGACUUCUAUAUGAAUUAUUGGUUUUAUCAACUAGCUGUUGGCUGCAGUGCAAAAUUUCCCUGGUGGACCAUAAUCCAUAAGUUUUUUCUUUUCCUUCUUCUCUCCAUGAAGUUGUUCUUGCCCAAAUAUGAAUCAUGUCUUCAGCAAACGUGCCAGCAGUGUCUUGCAUCUAGGUGACCUGCAUCAUAAUAUAAUUCUUGUGCUAGUUUGACUUGCAUUAUACUCCCUCCGUCCCAUAAUAUAAGAACGUUUUUGACACUAGUGUCCCAUAAUAUAAGAACGUUUUUGACACUACACUAGUGUAAAAAACGUUCUUAUAUUAUGGGACGGAGGGAGUAGUAUAACUCUUGGCUGUAGGUGACUUGCAUCAUACUAUUAUUCUUGAGCCUGUAGAUCAAUUCUAGUGCAGCUCUUCUGUAGCUUACUCUUGUGCCCUGGGCUAGACGCUUAGUAUUCCUGCAGCUCCUCUUGCAAUAGUUUGCCCUCCUAUUUUUUCGAAAUAAUAUGAUGGAAAAAUCACUAGUUUCUGUAGAACAGUAUCUGUAAUUUUAAUUUAUACUAUUGGAGACUAGUUUGUAGGUUAGUCUGGAAAGGUAAUAUCUGGAACUUCAAUUUAAACUAUCCGAUAGCAAAAACACUUCCUUCAUAGUGGAGCUUGAUGGAAGUAAUUUUUGCUCUGUUUAUAUCUAGAUGUUGUUGAGACAAAAAACAUGCAGGAAGAGCAGAACAUAUUUUUUGUGUAUUUACUACAAUAUCUGGAGAGCAUAUUAAUAGAGUUUCAGAAAACAUUGAACAUCUUGAAAGAAGCCACCAUUUUUCAAAUGGAGUGCCUAGAACUCAUUUAGGUGAGAUAUAAUUUGGUCUCAUUCACCUUGAAAACAAAAACAGAUACAACCCACGUCAGCACACACGCAUCUUAUAGCAUCACAUCCAAUGGCUAUAAAAGGUGAAUGAGACCAAACUAUAUCUCAUCUAAAUGAGUUCUAGCAAAACUGUUUUUCAAAAUCACUUCCAUCAUUCAAUGAGCUUAUCCUAGUAUGCUGCUGAGCUGGAUCUUAUUAACUCUGCAAAAACAUUUAUUAAAUUGACAGCUGCGUCCCCCCCUCCCCGCGUCGUCCGCUCUCGGGCGACUCGGGGGCGAAACCCUAGGCGCCGCCGGUUCCCCGCCUCCCCUUCUCCCCCCCUCUGCCGCCACCGGCAGCCGUCGUCGGGCUUGCACGCGCGGCGGUAGGCGGCGGCGGUUGCUUCCCCGCGCACCCGCCUCGACCUCUGGAGAGCCCCCACCCCGCAUCGGGCUCCGCCGCCCGCUUCCCCUGCUCCCCUGGUGGCCGUCGAGGCCGGCCCUCUGUGGUGGCUGUAGCCGCUGGCGUUGUCGCCCUGCGCCUGGUCGCCUGGGACGGCUCCGCCCGUCAGAUCGCCGCCUCGGCCCUGGGAUCGGGGCCAGCUACUCCGAUCUAGCGGCUGGUGGGCCGGGGUUCGCCGGAUCCGCCCGGAUCUGGCUGGCGUGGCCUUGCCUCGUCCUGCCCGGCUUGGGUUUUCGCGGUGUGGUGCUCCCUGGUGGCGGCGGUGUGGGUCUUUCUCCAUGUUUCGACGGGAUGUGUGCGGUGGGUGGAUGCCGGGGCGGCGGUCUCGGGCGGUGUGGACGGCGUUGCCUCUUCGGUGGGCGACGGCCGUGGAUGCUGGUGAUCUGCGACUUCGGCCGUGCGGGCGGCGAGGUCUCGGUGGACGUCACCUAGCGUGCCUGCUUCGAUGAAGUCCAACGCCUUCUCCGACUGCGUGCGCUCCCCUGGCCAGGUCUUUGGCCGGGUGGAUGGGAUGGGGGCGGGACCGGGGGAAUCCCUUGGCCGUCGGCGGAGGCCACGACAAUGGUGGCGCCUUUGCUGGGCGUCGGUCCCCUUCCUGGAGGCCUUGUCGAGGUCCUCGUUCGUCUUUCACUAUGCUCUUCCUUUGGACAAAAGCUCUAGUUCCCCUUGCAGGCGACGGCGUCGUACCCUCAUCGCGCUCCUUCUUCUAGGCGUCACCCGGGGUUUCCGGAAGCAUGGUGGGCACUUUGCGGUGCGUGUGAGGUGUUUGGCGGCGACAAUGUGUGCGGCGUUUCAUCUAUUCUCCGCCGGUCUUCGUCUUGUGGUAGCGCUCCUUCUGCUUGGAGAUGGACUAGCGUAGAUUGUGGUCGUCGUUUGGCGUCAUGGUGGCAUCGAUGGCGGAGGAACCUGCCAUGGUUGGCACCUCAAUCUGCUCUGAAGAUGGACCAGUGGGAGAUGGCGGCGACGACACAUGUGAGUGCGUCGGACCGGAUUGUGCCCCGGACCCGGUAUGUGGCUCGGUCGGGGCCUCCGACUUUUGAUGUUAGGCUUAGGUGAGAGGUCUGGGUAUUUGGCCCAGCUUGCAUCCCUUCAUCAUAUGGAUAGGAGUAGCGGCAGAUGUUGCCAAAAUGGCGGAUUCAGUCAUAUUGUUGUACUACUUUGUAAGGUUCUUGAGAAUAAUAAAUAAAAUGACCGCAUGCAUCUCCCAGAUGCAGAGGCCGGGGGUCAGCCUCAUUUUCUAAAAAAAAUCAGCCACAAAUUUAGCGCAACCAAUAAUCGGUAGACACGAGCUUUACACGCACUAGAAGGAACGCUCGUGUGUUGCAACGGGACCACAUUAACUUUAAGUGGCAUUGGCGACCUUUUUUACCAUCAAAUCCUCACACACACACACUCUCUCCCUCUUCCUCACACUCUCUCCCCCUCUCCCUCUCUCUCUCUAACACACACACAUAUCCAUCUUAUUAGGUACGAUACCAUAAUCCAUCUAUUUCACACACACACGCUAGUGCAUAACAAUAUGGAUUAUGUGUAUUGUAUUUGCCACCACAACUGAGAGAAUUAAUUUCAUGUAAAUCGGCCAGCCACAGCUCCAAGAAUACGCGGAGGAGGUGGCCCGGGUCGGCGUCGGCGCCGUCCAGCGCGGGCCACGGGCCCGCUUCUAAGUGCGUCUGAGCGCCGGCCACCCACGCCGGGUCCUUCAAGUGCCGCUUUCACUGCACCAACUCCCAGGGCCACGGCCACAGCCAAGGCCAGGGAAGCCGCCCUUCUUCGCCCCCUUCACUGGCCGCGGCCAAUGCGGUGCCGCGGCACCCGGCCUCGCCGUCCUCGUCCUCCGACACUGUCGUGACCCAGUGACGCAGCCCAAGCAUCGGCCUUGAGAAUCAAGAACGCUCGACAAUGGAGAGGGAAGGGAAGAUCAUAUACAUGUCAUAAGAAAUGGAGUUUAUUUACUGCUCCCUCGAUGUAUUGUUUCCUUUGUUUGGAGAUUGAUUACCAUCCAUGAGUUAAGGUAAGGUUAAUGUGAUUGAGUGAUUUUUCUGAAAAUUAAUUAUUUGUUUUCUUAUUAAUGUGAUUGAGUGAUUUAAGGUAAGGUUAAUUAAUUUAGAUUUGAUCUUUAGAGAUUGUUCGUGAUUGAUUCUACAUUACUAAAUAACUUGCGUCAGUAUGGAAAGUUCUGAUCUGUUCAGAUUUCUUUCGUCGUGUGAGAGGGUGACGCAAAAAUAAACCGAUGAAGUGGGGGAGGGGACGAAAAAAUCUACGAAAAAACCCAGCGAAGAUGGGAGGAGGUACCAAAAAAACCAUAAAAGGUGGGACGAAAAAAAACUUGAAAGCGAGACUACCAACUGCUUUAUUAGAAGUAGAGAUUAGUACAUGCACAAGCGACAACCUUAAAGAACCAUGUACUGCAGGCAAUUUUCCUUUUUCAAGACAAUAAGCAUGAGGACUUUAAGGUCAAGUGUCUUGCACAGAAAGUUUUUCCAUAUCACAAGCUUCAUGGACGUACGUGAGAGGAUUGGAUAAUCUAUGGCGGAUCCUCCGGACACAGUAUUUGAUUUGGUUGCAACAAUCUUUGCCGCUUCUGCUGGGGACUCCUGGUGUCAUGGUUUGAGUUUGACGGGCGCAGCUGCAAAACCAACUUAUAGGUCAUCUUACUACACAAAGAGGGCAACAAGAACACCAGAAACAGGGCAUCAGGCCAUCAGGGUGGGACUAUAUACCUCAUGAGUAGCACUACCAGCACAAUGAGCAUUUCUUGCACCAUCCUCAACUUCAUCUGAUGCACAUGGAGCACAAAACAAUAAGAUUCAUGAUUAUUGAAUUCAUGCUUCAGCCAAUUCAUUCAAAAGUCCGAACUGAUGGAGAGAGGCGGACAAUAUAUUUCAACACUCCCCCUCACGUCUAGGCCAGUUUAAUCCUUAGACGUGGGAUCGAUGUAGGCCGCAGAAUCGUUUUUAUUUAAUGCUGCGUUGGCAGGGUCUUGAACUCAAGACCUCUUGGCUCGGGUACUAUAUUGAAUUCAUGCUCCAGCCAAUUCAUCCAAAAAUCCGAACUGACGGAGAGAGGCGGGCAAUAUAUUUCAACAAUGAUCACCCACUAAUCACUAUAGAAAUACUCAAAUGCACGAUGAUUUCACAACCAAAUUACCAGUUUGAAUUUAGGCCCCAAUCAGCACAAUCUAACAACGAAUUGAUCAUCCCGAUUCAAAGCGAAUACCUAAAGUAAGAUGUCCUUUUACCUAAUCACACCUCAACCAAUUCCAGGUUCUUCAACAAAAAGCAAACGUUUCUGAGGAUUCAAGUCUUCAACUAUCAUUUACUCUCAGAAGCCAUAAGUGAAGAAAAUGGCCCAAAUCCGUACAGAUGAUAAGACUGACCGAUCUAACAUGAACAAUAGACGAUGUGACCAAUCUAACAUGGGCUACACGAAACAAGAACCGUACGGACUGAAAUAAAACGUGCUUGAACACACCUAUGGAUACAGCAACAUAUUUCUAAAAAGGACACAAGGAAAAACACUGAGCUGCACAGUUACCUGAAUCGCCAUUCAUCAGAUAUUUGUGCAGCGCACAGCGAAUGUAGGUUGGAUGGAAAUCCAAGGAUCUAUGUGCAUCAAGUGGCAUCAGCUCUCGCACUGCCUUGUUCCUCAUGUCAACGGUGACAACCCAUUUAGUUCCGUCCCAGCCAUCCCCCUUUGACAUGAGGCAAACAACAUCAUCAGUACACAUGAUGGGAUAGGUCGUUUUUAGGUCCUUCAAUGGCAGGUCCGCAGCGCCGCCGCAACCAGGCAAAGAGACAGUUCCAAGGUCAUCAUCAACAUGAAGCAUGCUCCCCUUGCGCCAAUAGUCCCAAGAGAUGUGCCUGUACCAUGUAAUGAGUCUCCAACCAGCGGACUCGUAUUCCUCCUCCUCCUUCCUUGGAUCCUUGGCCAAUUCAGAGUCACAGAGCACGUCCUUUGCCGAGUGUUGACGCUCAAAAAUGGCACAGUCAUAAAAUUAGCAUAGGCUGCAUCAAGACUAAUUCAAACUUAUGAUUGGAGGUCACCUCUGAAUGGCUCUCUUUAAGAAGAUCGAGAUGGAUAUGAAGAUGGUUUAAAACGGAGCUCGGAAACAAUAGUUGUGACAAGUUCAGAGAUGCUCAUGUUGACACCAGAUUAAAGAAUGACAUGAAACUCAAUUAAGAUGGCCUCUAAUCGAAAAGGUUUCAACACUAAAGUUGUGCGUCUCGUUGAAACGGUUGAUUUUGAUAUAAAAAUCGUCCUAAUCCGAGGUCGUAUGCAACCUAUGGAGACAAAACAAGGUCAGAAACAAAAGUUGCAGAGUCAUUUCGGACCGACCGAGUUGAUUUGAUCGGUGAGACCGAGUUGGUCCGAAAAUUUACCAGAGAGUUGGCAAUGUUCAUUCGGUAGGACUGAAGCAAACCAAUCGGUGAGAUUGAGUUGAUCCGAGAAAUUACAGAAGGAUACAGAGAGUUGGCAACGUUCACUCGGUGGGACCGAAACGAACCAAUCGGUGGGACCGAGUUGAUCCGGAAAAUUACCAAAGAUUCCUGUCCGAGUUAGGUUAGGCUUUUUGAUGUUUUGGACAGAAAUUUUAGUCCUUUUCUUGUACGGGAAGUCCAGCCGCCUCAUAAAUAGAUGAGAGGUGAUGGCCGAUUGAACAACACACAAUCGAUCAAAUCAUCUACCACUUUUUAUCUUUUAUCUUUUCUCCUUAACCCUAGUUCUUCCUCUUCCUCGUUCUUCGUCUGUUCUUCUUGUUGCAGGGCGGCGAACCUCGAGGCCCUAGGGGCGAUCUGGUCGACCUAGGGCAGCCCAUAGCCGCCGCGCGUCCAGACGGGGUCCCUCCCGGGCAUGUGGGGUUUCGGGUCCUCAAAAGCACCCGCUGGAUUGCUUGCGUACCGCGCUUCUGGCCGGGUCUCCUUCGACGUGAGCUGCGGUGCAUCACCCCCGGCGUCGAGGGUACACGGUGACGUGUUCGUGUGCGAACACACUUUUUGGCGACUCCGCUGGGGACUAAAAAUCAAUCAAUCAUCAUCCACCAUGUCCGAUCUUCCCAAGCCAUCUGAGGUAGACGCCGAUAACAUCAUUAAGUCCAGUCUUGAUGAGAUAUCAGCCGAUCAUCGCCAAAUCUAUGAGGAGUACAAGAAGGUGCGCGAAGAGAAGGAUUUGCAGGAGUUCCUUGCAAAAUUAAAGAAGGCUCGCCAAGGCAACAUCACUCCGAUUGAAGAAAUCAAGUUCCCUCCUCUUCAAACCGAGCAGGUUAAACCCUCUGUGAGUACUACCUUUUCUCCUGAGCAGUGGGCUGAGAUUGAGAGUCGUAUUGCUGAUGGUAACAAUCUGGUCUAUCAAACUUUCAUAGAAAAUACUAAUGCUCAGAAAAAUAUAUCUCAAUCAUCUAAUGGUAAUGGUGGUAUAGCUGCUAGCGUGCAAAACCCUAAUCUGGCUUUACCUAUUUCAUCGGUGCCUCCCAUGCCGAUGACUUAUUACCCUACCGAAGCAAAUCAAAUUGUUGCUGCACCCAUUAAUCCUAUCAUGAGUAUGCCAAGUUCGGUGGUGACGCCGAACCAAGCCCUACCCAUAGGUGCAAACGCUGUUAGAUCACUGCCGAAUUACAAUUCGGCAUACAUGCCACAAUUCACACCUGCAGCUACUAACCCUACUCCUCCUAUGCCACUGCCACAAGCUUCAUCGUCCACUGUGGAUGAUGGUCUAGCUAAUCUUAGAGAGGAGAUGUCUAAGAUGCUCCGAGAGAAUUUUGGAGUUGAGUUACCAAGGAACCGUAUUUACCAAAAGCCAUAUCCAGAAUACUUUGAUGCAAUUCAAUGCCCUCCGGGAUAUAAAAUUACAGAUUUUGUUAAGUUUAAUGGAGAGGGCACAAAAACCACAUGGGAUCAUGUUAGUCAGUACUUGACACAAUUAGGUGAGGCAAGUUCACAAGACGAGUGGAGAGUACGUUAUUUUCCUUUAUCUUUAACCGGUACCGCUUUCUCGUGGUUUUCCGCGUUACCACCCGGUUCUGUUACUACAUGGUUUCACUUGGAAAAAAAGUUUCAUGAUCAUUUUUAUAGUGGCGAUAAUGAGCUUAAGUUGUCACAUCUUACAUCGGUUAGACAAAAGCAUGAUGAAUCGGUCUCCGAUUACGUCAAGAGAUUUAGAGAUACAAAAAACCGGUGCUAUAGUUUGGUGAUAACCGAGAGAGAUUUGGCUGAUCUUAUGCUUAAUGGUUUGAGAACUCACAUUAGAGAAAGGCUAGAAGGACAUGAGUUUUUAAAUAUCAACCAAGUCUUGCAAAGGGCUUUGGCUCAAGAAAGCCGAAGCAAAGAUCUUAAAGAGGUGCAUAGAUAUAAAACUGAUCGUCCUAAGAUGAAUAUGGUUGAGUAUGAUAGUGACCACUCGGACGAUGAGGGUGAUAUUUAUGCUGCUGAAUUUGUUUGGCCAUCUAAGGCCAAACCAUUUACUUGCAAUGAUUUAAAGCCAAUUCAUAAGAAUCGUGAUGAAGAGAUGAAAUUUACUUUCAACAUUGCUAAGUGUGAUAGAAUAUUUGAUGCUUUAUUGCAAGUGAAGAUUAUUAGAAUAUCUCAUACUUUACCGCCGUUUGAAGACCUGAAACGGCGUGCUUAUUGCAAGUAUCAUAAUUCUUUUUCUCAUGCUACUAAUGAUUGUAAUGUUUUUCGACGACAGAUACAAUCGGCCAUUAAUGACAGACGAUUGAAUUUUUCUGAGAUGCAAGUUGAUAAGCAGCCUUUUCCAAUGAACACCAUGGAUUUGGAGGGGAAGAAGAUGUUAAUUCGGCCCAGCAUAGCCGAAUCAGCUAAUAAAAAUAAUAUUGUCAUUGGUGAGCCCAGGAAAAAUAAGGAGAGCGACAAGGUCUUGGGGAGACAAGUUGUGCUUGACAAGCAACCCGAUGACAAGGAGGUAAUCAAGAUCACCAUCAAGAAUCCUACACUCGGGGGGCAACCACAAGUGCAAGAGAACACUCAUGUAAAAUUUGUUAAGCCCAAGAGUCCAGAGGUUGGCAAGUGGAAGAUGAAUGAAGCUAAAGUGCAGCGCAAGAAAAUCAAGCCAACUUUUGAUAUGUUGUUGUCCAAGUAUGCCAAUCAAGCGGCCGGUUCUAGCUCUAACCGGUCAAAUUUGAAGCGCUCAAGGUCACCUCCUCGGGAAGAAUUUCAGCAUCAUGCAAGGCCAUAUGGGUCAUGGGCACCGGGACCAUGGAUGGCGCCACCGCCCUAUGCGCCAUACUACAUGGGAGACUUCAAUGGAGGAUGGGGGCAGUCCCCAAUGGCCCCUUAUGCUUUUCAUCCGGGUUGGGAAGAACCAAGGAGGCCCAUUCAUGAGAGGCUUUCUUAUCCCACACGAGGCCGUUUGAACAAUGGUGUCAAUCGGCCAAUGCAAGAUAAUCAAAAAAAGGGUCAGUAGGCAAGUGUGGCGUGCCAAAUCACCAAGUGUUGAAAUUUCAGAGCCUAGCAAGCAAAAUGAGAAGAGUACUAGUGGUGAAACUAUUCUGAUAGGCACUAAAGAAUUAAUAAUCAAAGAGCCAAUUAUUGUUGAUAAUCCGGCUGAUUCUAAUAAAGAUGUGGCUGCGGUCCAGCAAGGCCCCAUGGCUAAUGAUCAUGAAGCUAGCACAAGCAAGGCCAAGUCGAGGGAUCCAAAAUAUACUCAGCCUAAGUGGUGUCCUUCCGGUCUGACCAAGGCACAAAAAAGGAGAUUGCAGUGCAUGAGGAGUCAUGAGAAGGAGGAACAAGAAGCAGAAAAGCUAAGGGAUAAAUUAUUCAAUGAAAGCCGUCCCAUGGUAACCCCCAAAAAAGUGUGGAGGCCAAAGCAAAAGGAAAACAUAGCAGCUUCUGCAUUGAUCAUAGCAACACCUACACCACCAACGGAGGACGAUGCGGCUACUAUUACAUCGUCCACUUUGCCUACUACUUCCUCUUCCCUUGGAGAUAUUUCGGAGUCAGUGGACAUGCUUGCGGAAGGAGAUGAAAUGCUUGAUUAUGAGUCUACACCGGUUCAUGAAGGUAUGGCUAUUAAUAUGGUGUAUUACUUACCCGCUGAAUUUCGUGCUAUAGAUGAUGAAGGGGAAGUAGCUCAACUAGAUUUUGGUCCUAAAAAUGCUAUAUUCGAGAAGCCAAAAGAACCGGUGACGCACUUGAAGCCAUUGUUCCUUAAAGGUCAUAUUAAUGGAUCGUCGGUUGCUAGAAUGCUUGUCGAUGGUGGUGUUGUGGUGAAUCUUAUGCCAUAUUCGGUCUUCAAAAAAUUGGGGUUGCGUGAUGAACAAUUAAUAAAGACAAACAUGGUGCUUAAUGGAUUUGAAGGCAAAGAGAAAACUGAAGCCAAAGGUGUAAUGUAUGUGGAGCUUACGGUGGGAAGCAAAACUUUGGCUACCGCAUUCUUUGUCGCCGAGGUGCAAGGUAACUACAAUGUGAUAUUAGGCCGCGAUUGGGUUCAUGCAAACCAAUGUGUGCCAUCUACUAUGCACCAGUUUUUAAUUCAAUGGGUUGAUGAUGAAGUAGAAGCCAUUCAUGCGGAUAAUUCGGCUUGUGUUGCUUUGGCCGAUGCAUCGGUGGAUUGGCAACAUCCCAAUGCUACUUGCUUGACGGGGCGCGACUUGUCAGAAUUUGAUUUUCUUAGCACCACAAAAAGUGGUUUUGUGCCUGUUUCUUUAAAGCCGGUUGGCGAUAAUCGACUCCAAGGUAUGAUGUAUUUAAAUGGAUCCUAACUCAGAGUGGUUACAAAAGCGUCUUGUAGAAUAUUGGUCCAAUGAGAACGAUAUGUAUGAGUCCAUAGAAGAGUUAGAUGAUAUGGAUAAAUUAGGACAAGGUUUUACAUCGGUCGAUCCAUUAGAAGAGAUAGAUAUAGGAGAUGGUUCAAUUCCUAGGCCGACAUUUGUAAACAAAAAUUUAAGAGCCGAUCAUAAAGCUAAGUUGAUCGAGCUAUUGAAAGAAUAUGUUUGUUGCUUUGCAUGGGAAUAUCAUCAGAUGCCAGGUUUAAGCCGAGAGCUAGUGGAGCACCGUUUACCUAUAAAGGCUGGUUUUAGACCAUACAAGCAAUCGGCCAGAAAGUUUAAUUAAAAAACGUAUGACCGGAUCAAGGAAGAAAUCGGUCGUUUGCUUAAAGCUAAUUUUAUUAGACCUUGCAGGUAUGCCGAGUGGAUAUCUAACAUUGUACCAGUAGAGAAGAAAGGCUCCGGCAAGUUGAGGGUUUGCAUUGAUUUCAGAGAUUUGAAUAGAGCUACACCUAAAGAUGAGUAUCCUAUGCCAAUAGCCGAUAUGCUUAUUAAUGAUGCUUCUGGACAUAAGGUCAUUAGCUUUCUUGAUGGUAAUGCGGGGUAUAACCAGAUUUUUAUGGCCGAAGAGGACUUGUCCAAGACGGCUUUUCGGUGUCCUGGUUUCCUUGGUUUAUUUGAGUGGACAGUGAUGACCUUUGGAUUAAAAAAUGCCGGUGCCACGUAUCAAAGGGCUAUGAAUUUAAUUUUUCAUGAUUUGCUUGGUGUUAUACUUGAGGUUUAUAUUGAUGAUAUUGUUGUCAAAUCGGAUGCUUUUGAAUCUCAUCUAGCCGAUUUGCGCUUAGCUUUUGAGAGAAUGAAAAAAUAUGGACUAAAGAUGAAUCCUUUAAAGUGUGCUUUUGGUGUAUCGGUUGGAAAGUUUUUGGGUUUCAUUAUUCAUCAAGAUGGCAUAGAGAUUGAUCCCAAAAAGAUACAAGCUAUACAAAAGUUGGAGGCUCCAACUUGCAAGAGAGAUAUGCAAAAUUUCCUUGGCAAAGUCAAUUAUUUAAGGAGAUUCAUAGCCAACUUGUCAGGGAAGGUUGAUGCAUUCACUCCCAUCCUUCGGUUAAAGGACGAUGCCAAUUUUACUUGGGGGGCAAAACAACAAGAAGCAUUUGAUAUGAUAAAAAGUUAUUUGUGCACUCCUCCGGUGUUGAAAGCUCCCAAACAUGGAGAGCCCUAUAAGCUUUAUAUUGCGGCGGAGGAAGGUGUUAUUGGUGUUGUUUUGACUCAAGAGACAGAAGGAAAGGAGCAUGCUAUUACUUAUUUGAGCCGACGCUUAUUGGAUGCCGAGACAAGGUAUACAUUUAUUGAGAAAUUAUGUUUAUGCUUAUAUUAUGCUUGUACAAAAUUGAGACAUUAUCUAGUGCCUAGUACUUGCAUUAUAGCUUGUCAAACCGAUGUCAUCAAGUACAUGUUGCAUAGGCCAAUUCUUAGUGGUAGGAUUGGCAAGUGGGCUUAUGCUUUAAUUGAAUAUGAUUUGGCUUAUGAAUCUCUGAAAUCCAUGAAAGGCCAAAUCGUUCCUAAUUUUAUUGUUGAGCAUCGGAUUGAUGACAAGCAUGAUAUUGAUAUAAACCUUGUCUCGUCAGUACCAUGGAGAUUAUAUUUUGAUGGUUCAGUUUGUAGCAAUGGCCAAGGUGUUGGUAUUGUUUAUAUAUCUCCUCAUGGUGCUGUUUUUGAAGCCUCAUGCCGCUUAGAAUAUUUUUGCACAAAUAAUCAAGCUGAAUAUGAAGCAUUGUUAUUCAGUUUAGAAAUGUUGCUUGCCAUAGGUGCUACACAUAUUGAGGCUUUUGGUGAUUCGCUAUUAGUAGUGCAACAAAUAUCCAAAGUAUUUCAAUGUUUUGACGAAUCACUUAAUGUUUAUCUUGAUAAAUGUCUAGAUACAAUUUCUACUUUGGAUUAUUUUAGCAUUGCUCAUAUAUCUAGACAUGACAAUUGGAGAGCAAAUGAGUUGGCACAACAAGCAUCCGGCUAUCAUGUUGAUCAUGGCAUGUUUCAUAUUUCUCAAAGGCCGAUGUCUAGUCUUGCCAACAUAGGGGAGGUCGAGCCGGAGCCCACCGUUUCGGCCACUAAUGAAGUAUUUAAUGCAGGAGAAAAUCAAGACUGGAGGAAACCCAUAAUUGACUAUUUGUGUGAUCCUAGUAAGAGGGUGAACAGGACUGUUCGGCGUAUGGCUUUCAAAUACACAAUGAGAGAUGAUGGUCUCUAUCGCCGAACGGUUGAUGAUGUUCUUUUAAAGUGCUUGGAUGAGGACCAAGCAAGAGUUGCUAUGGGAGAGGUCCAUGAAGGUAUUUGUGGCACUCAUCAGUCGGCUCCCAGGAUGAAAUGGUUAUUACGACGUGCUGGGUUUUAUUGGCCGACAAUGGUUAAUGAUUACUUCCGGUAUUAUAAAGGAUGUGAAGCCUGUCAAAAGUUUGGUGAUAUUCAGUUGGCUCCCGCUACUAUGUUACAUCCUAUUAUCAAGCCGUGGCCUUUUAAAGGUUGGGGAUUAGACUUUAUUGGAGAGAUUCAUCCUUCUUCUUCAAAGGGGCAUCGGUUCGUGUUGGUGGCGACUGAUUAUUUCACUAAAUGGUCUGAAGCAAUACCACUCAAAAAUAUGACUCAUACAAAGGUAAUUCGAUUCAUAACUGAGCGCAUUAUUCAUAGAUUCGGCAUUCCUCAAACAUUAACUACAGAACAAGGUUCAUCCUUUAUGUCACAUCAAGUUAGAUAAUUUUCCGAAUCAUAUAAGAUAAAGUUGCUCAAUUCCUCUCCAUAUUAUGCCCAAGCCAAUGGACAAGCUGAGUCUAGCAAUAAAAUAUUAAUCAAGCUCAUCAAGAAGAAGAUUGAGGAUAAUCCAAGGAGAUGGCAUGAGCAACUGUCCGAAGCUUUGUGGGCGCACAGAAUCUCAAGACAUGGUGCUACAAAGGUAACUCCAUAUGAGCUCGUAUAUGGUCAAGAGGCCAUUUUACCAGUGGAAGUGAAUUUGAAUGCUUUGAGAAUAGCCAAACAAAAUGAUUUAUCGGCGGUGGACUUUUAUAACUUGAUGAUGGACAAUAUUGAUGAAGUCGUCGAUAAACGUUUGGCUGCUUUGAAGGCCAUAGAGAGAGAUAAGUUGAGGGUGACAAGAGCUUACAAUAAAAAGGUCAAGUUGAAGACUUUUCAAGUUGGCAAAACUAUAUAACUCAAAAUAUAUAAGUGAAGCACAAAGAGUAUUCUAAUAAUUUCCAAAUCAUGUAUGGCUCUCUCAAAAGGUGUGUACAACAAGGAUGAUUGUGGUAAACUAAAAAUCAAAGACUCAAAUCAUACAAGACGCUCCAAGUAAAACACAUAUCAUGUGGUGAAUAAAAAUAUAGCUCCAAGUAAAGUUACCAAUGGAAGUAGACGAAAGAGGUGAUGCCUUCCGGGGCAUCCCCAAGCUUUGGCUUUUUGGUAUCCUUAGAUUAUCUUGGGGGUGCCAUGGGCAUCCCCAAGCUUAGGCUCUUGCCACUCCUUGUUCCAUAAUCCAUCAAAAUCUUUCACCCAAAACUUGAAAACUUCACAACACAAAACUUAACAGAAAAUCUCGUGAGCUCCGUUAGCGAAAAAACAAAAGACCACUUCAAGGUACUGUAAUGAACUUAUUCUUUAU